This 76-nucleotide transfer RNA is filed under the name Rhodoblastus acidophilus. RNAcentral describes it as "tRNA-Met". It matches the Rfam family "tRNA". Rfam says of the family: Transfer RNA (tRNA) molecules are approximately 80 nucleotides in length. The record is from RNAcentral. RNAcentral also lists the same sequence under 9 other names. Lineage: Bacteria; Pseudomonadati; Pseudomonadota; Alphaproteobacteria; Hyphomicrobiales; Rhodoblastaceae.
GCGGGGUGGAGCAGCCCGGUAGCUCGUCAGGCUCAUAACCUGAAGGUCACAGGUUCAAAUCCUGUCCCCGCAACCA